AGAUACUUAGUCCAAAACAAAGACCACUAAUUUCGGCUUAGUAAAUUAUGGUGAAAAUCCAUAAGUAUCUU
Molecule: transfer RNA, 71 nt
Filed under: Carcharodon carcharias (great white shark)
Lineage: Eukaryota; Metazoa; Chordata; Chondrichthyes; Lamniformes; Lamnidae
Description: tRNA-Arg
Source: RNAcentral